Molecule: ribosomal RNA, 433 nt
Filed under: uncultured bacterium
Lineage: Bacteria
Description: partial 16S ribosomal RNA
Rfam family: Bacterial small subunit ribosomal RNA
Source: RNAcentral
AACGAACGCUGGCGGCAUGCCUAACACAUGCAAGUCGAACGAGACCUUCGGGUCUAGUGGCGCACGGCUGCGUAACGCGUGGGAACCUGCACUUAGGUUCGGAAUAACUCCCCGACAGGGGUGCUAAUACCGGACAAUGUCUUCGGACCAAAGAUUUAUUGCCUUUGGAUGGGCCCGCGUUGGAUUCGCUAGUUGGUAGGGUAAAAGCCUACCAAGGCGACGAUCCAUAGCUGGUUUGGGAGGAUGGUCAGCCACACUGGGACUGAGACGCGGCCGAGACUCCUACGGGAAGGAGGAGAGGGGAAUAUUGGACAGUGGGCGAAAGCCUGAUCCAGCAAUGCCGGGUGAGUGAUGAAAGCCGUAGGGUUGUAAAGCUCUUUUACCCGGGCUGAUAAUGACAGUACCGGGUGAAUAAGCCCCGGCUAACUCCGUG